UGGAAUUGCAGUAGUUCGAUGAGGUAUACAAACACGGUUCCGCAGGGGCUGUCUGCAGGACGGACCGGCUUCAGGGUUGUCACAGGCAUCAUCGCGCCCUCCUGUUGUGGAGGAGGAUUCAUCGACUCAGCCUGAAGCACCGAGCAGAGUCCUUCUGCUUGUUCUUCUGACCUUGCCCCAGACACUUCUGUCUCUGGAUUUUCCCGGGAGCCGUCAGAUUGAGUGUCUGGUUGCUUGGAGGAGAAGGAGGUAGAAGCAGAUCUGGGAGAUGCACUUUGCAGCUUCCCGCAAACUGGUGUUUGGUAUGGAAGCUUGUGUUGAUGGCUUUUGCUCUGCUGGCAUAAGGAAGAUUGCUAGCAGAACCCUGGAGAGCUCUGGCACAAGGAGGAACAAGCCACACACUCUCAUCCACCGUGGACACUUUGAGAAGUGCUUUCCAACUAGGGUCAGAUUCUGGGGGCAUUCUUGCAACCAUCCAUUUGGGAUCGGCCCUGGAAGCAAGUGUACACCCUGACCAAGUCUGUGCUCCCCACCAAUAAAAAUGGUAAAUCCCCUUACUCCAA
Long non-coding RNA from Ochotona curzoniae (black-lipped pika), 563 nucleotides. RefSeq lists it as uncharacterized. The record is from RefSeq and is a predicted model, not a curated record. NCBI's taxonomy places the organism in Eukaryota, Metazoa, Chordata, Mammalia, Lagomorpha, Ochotonidae. The transcript is spliced from 2 exons.